UGGCUAAUUUAAGUGGAGACUUAAGCAGCUUAUGUGGCAUAAAAAACUAUUUUUUAUUAAUUACAUAAACAAAUUUGUUUAAAUAAAGGGCAAAAUCGUCAAAACACCUUACAUCUCUCUCCCUAUUUUUCUCUCUCCCAGAAAGUCGAGAGCCACCACAACCGCCGCCGCACCAGAAAGUCUCCGAUCAAGAAUGACCCAGCCGCCGGUAAUUCCGCCGGAGAGGAAAACAAAACAAAAAAACUCAAACAAAUAUCCUUCAAUCGAUCGGCAAAAAACCCCCCACUCUUUUGAUCGAUAUAUAUACACUAGGAAAAGAAAAAGUUCUCCAUCAUUUCUUUUCAACAAAUAUGCAGCAACAUCACAGAAACUUUAGAGUAUGUAUAUAGCAUCGGCCAGUGGGAUCUGACUAAUGAGUGGAAGCUUUAGAGUUGAUUAUAAAAUCGCAGAAACUUACUUGUACUGUUGGGGACAUGGCCGAUCCAAGUUCAUAAGCCAUAUCGUUGUUAAAACUCUCUCUGUUCUACGAAAAAAAAAUCUGAUUUAUAGUAUUUGUCAAUAAUGCUCUGAUUUAUAGUAUUCUCCAUUAUCAAGCAGACAAACACUGGGGAAAGAAAAAGGAAAAAGGAAAAAGGAAAAACAGAAAAGAGAAAUUUGCAGCAACAUCGCACCCAUCAUUCACCAUUAUUGAGCAGACCAGUGUUGGAGAAAGAAAAAAGAAAAACAAAAAAAUAGUGAGAAAUUUUAGAUCUGCGGCUGUCAAAAUGUCAUCGCCCCUAUUCUGCCGCCGCGCAAGCUUGGAAAAGCUCCGAAAAAGUAUGACUUCCAUCCCAUAGAUCUAUUAAUAACUUAAAAAAUUAGUCAAUUUCUGCUAUAAGAAUUAUUGUUGAAUAUGAAAAGUUCAUAGAAGAUGUAAACAAGCAAUUUAGUGACUUAUCGAUCAAAACCUUGAGACGAUUUCCAUGGGGGAGAGAAGGAUAUCGUUUCUGCAAUUAACGAAGACAAUGAUUGAUUUUUGGAUGGUAGUGCACUUGACAACGAUUGUUUUGUUACUGAAUUUUUGGAUGAACGGGAUGAGGAGAUUUGUCUGAGAUUUGAUUCUCAGAUCUAGAUUUUUGGAUGAACGGGAUGAGGAGAUUUUUGGAUGAAUUUUUGGUACACUUGAUUUGAUUCUGAGAUUUGUCUGAGAUUUUUAAUUUUGGUUAUGUUGUUUUACACUUUUGC
RNAcentral lists this long non-coding RNA (1224 nucleotides) under Panax ginseng (ginseng). RNAcentral's name for it is "long non-coding RNA (PGIN_LNC017861)". The record is from RNAcentral. Lineage: Eukaryota; Viridiplantae; Streptophyta; Magnoliopsida; Apiales; Araliaceae.